UGCUAGCAGSSGMGGKRRYWYCAGCUCCAAUAGCGUAUAUUUAAGUUGUUGCAGUUAAAAAGCUCGUAGUUGAAUUUCGGGGUCAGUAGAUUGGUCGUGCCACUGGUAUGUACUGGUCUUACUGGCUCCCCCUUCCUGAUGAACCGUAAUGCCAUUAACUUGGUGUUGCGGGGAGACUGGACUGUUACUUUGAAAAAAUUAGAGUGUUUAAAGCAGGCUAACGCUUGAAUACAUUAGCAUGGAAUAAUGAAAUAGGACGUUCGAUCUUAUUUUGUUGGUUUCUAGGAUUGACGUAAUGAUUAAUAGGGAUAGUUGGGGGCAUUAGUAUUCAAUUGUCAGAGGUGAAAUUCUUGGAUUUAUUGAAGACUAACUACUGCGAAAGCAUUUGCCAAGGAUGUUUUCAUUAAUCGAGAACGAAAGUUAGGGGAUCGAAGACGAUCAGAUACCGUCGUAGUCUUAACCAUAAACUAUGCCGACUAGGGAUCGGAUGAUGUUARUWKYYYAAUGACUCAUUCGGCGCCUUACCGGGAAAACAA
Molecule: ribosomal RNA, 536 nt
Filed under: Rhizophagus sp. (in: glomeromycetes)
Lineage: Eukaryota; Fungi; Glomeromycota; Glomeromycetes; Glomerales; Glomeraceae
Description: Rhizophagus sp. (in: Fungi) partial small subunit ribosomal RNA
Source: RNAcentral